UAGGGAAUCUUCCGCAAUGGACGAAAGUCUGACGGAGCAACGCCGCGUGAGUGAAGAAGGAUUUCGGUUCGUAAAACUCUGUUGUUAGGGAAGAAAAAAUGUAUAGUAACUAUAUAAAAAAGAGACGGUACCUAACCAGAAAGCCACGGCUAACUACGUGCCAGCAGCCGCGGUAAUACGUAGGUGGCAAGCGUUGUCCGGAAUUAUUGGGCGUAAAGCGCGCGCAGGUGGUUUAGAAAGUCUGAUGUGAAAGCCCACGGCUCAACCGUGGAAGGUCAUUGGAAACUAAUAAACUUGAGUGCAGGAGAGAAAAGUGGGAUUCCUAGUGUAGCGGUGAAAUGCGUAGAGAUUAGGGGGAACACCGGUGGCGAAUGCGGCUUUUUGGCCUGCAACUGACACUGAGGCGCGAAAGCGUGGGGAGCAAACAGG
This 429-nucleotide ribosomal RNA is filed under the name Verrucomicrobiota bacterium. Its description in RNAcentral is "Verrucomicrobia bacterium partial 16S ribosomal RNA". It matches the Rfam family "Bacterial small subunit ribosomal RNA", at positions 355 to 776 of the family's 1533-position model. The record is from RNAcentral. Lineage: Bacteria; Pseudomonadati; Verrucomicrobiota.